This 485-nucleotide ribosomal RNA is filed under the name uncultured bacterium. Its description in RNAcentral is "bacterial SSU rRNA". It matches the Rfam family "Bacterial small subunit ribosomal RNA", at positions 30 to 512 of the family's 1533-position model. The record is from RNAcentral.
AUUGAACGCUGGCGGCAGGCCUAACACAUGCAAGUCGAACGGUAACAGGAUAGCUUGCUAUCGCUGACGAGUGGCGGACGGGUGAGUAAUACUUAGGGAUCUGCCCCGGGGUGGGGGACAACCAUUGGAAACGAUGGCUAAUACCGCAUAACGUCUACGGACCAAAGAGGGCUUCGGCUCUCGCCCUGGGAUGAACCUAAGCGAGAUUAGCUUGUUGGUGAGGUAAAGGCUCACCAAGGCGACGAUCUCUAGCUGUUCUGAGAGGAAGAUCAGCCACACUGGGACUGAGACACGGCCCAGACUCCUACGGGAGGCAGCAGUGGGGAAUAUUGCACAAUGGGGGGAACCCUGAUGCAGCCAUGCCGCGUGUGUGAAGAAGGCCUUCGGGUUGUAAAGCACUUUCAGUGAGGAGGAAAGGUUGGUGGUUAAUACCCAUCAGCUGUGACGUUACUCACAGAAGAAGCACCGGCUAACUCCGUGCCAGC